This 204-nucleotide long non-coding RNA is filed under the name Ananas comosus (pineapple). RNAcentral's name for it is "long non-coding RNA (ACOM_LNC001045)". Lineage: Eukaryota; Viridiplantae; Streptophyta; Magnoliopsida; Poales; Bromeliaceae. The record is from RNAcentral.
UAUGAUGAAAUAUAUUACAAGUUCUUCUUCCCCAAUUCCUCUCUUAUUCUCUAUCUAUCUUCUAUCCCUAACCCUCUCAACUCUCCUCCCUUCUCUCUUCUUAUCCUUCCCAAUUCUCCCAGACUUCACCUUCUAUUUCCCCAAUUCCUCACAUUACCUGCAAUCCGAAGAGUUCCCUGGCUCGGAAGCUCCCCAUCAUCCUCU